AUUUACAGCCAUGCCACCUUGAACAAACCCAAUCCCGUCUGAUCUCGGAAGCUAAGCAGGGUCAAGCCUGGUUAGUACUUGAAUGGGAGACCAUUUAGGAAGACCAGGUGCUGUAGACG
RNAcentral lists this ribosomal RNA (119 nucleotides) under Pteropus vampyrus (large flying fox). The record is from RNAcentral. Lineage: Eukaryota; Metazoa; Chordata; Mammalia; Chiroptera; Pteropodidae.